Molecule: small nuclear RNA, 190 nt
Filed under: Monopterus albus (swamp eel)
Lineage: Eukaryota; Metazoa; Chordata; Actinopteri; Synbranchiformes; Synbranchidae
Description: U2 spliceosomal RNA (ENSMALG00000009375.1)
Rfam family: U2 spliceosomal RNA
About the family: U2 is a small nuclear RNA (snRNA) component of the spliceosome (involved in pre-mRNA splicing).
Source: RNAcentral
UUGGCUUCUUGGCCUUUUGGCUAAGUUCAGGUGUAGUAUCUGUUCUUAUCUGUUUAAUAUCUGAUACAUUCCUCACCCAGGGACAGGCAUAUUGAAUAGAUUUUUGCAGCAGGGAGCUAGAACAGGAGCUCGCUCUGUCCACUCCACACAUCAACCUGGUUUUGUACUGUUCCAAGCUCCUCUAAGGAAC